CCUUGGAAGUAAAAGUCGUAACAAGGUCUCCGUUGGUGAACCAGCGGAGGGAUCAUUACUGAGUUUACGCUCUAUAACCCUUUGUGAACAUACCUAUAACUGUUGCUUCGGCGGGUAGGGUCUCCGUGACCCUCCCGGCCUCCCGCCCCCGGGCGGGUCGGCGCCCGCCGGAGGAUAACCAAACUCUGAUUUAACGACGUUUCUUCUGAGUGGUACAAGCAAAUAAUCAAAACUUUUAACAACGGAUCUCUUGGUUCUGGCAUCGAUGAAGAACGCAGCGAAAUGCGAUAAGUAAUGUGAAUUGCAGAAUUCAGUGAAUCAUCGAAUCUUUGAACGCACAUUGCGCCCGCCAGCAUUCUGGCGGGCAUGCCUGUUCGAGCGUCAUUUCAACCCUCAAGCUCUGCUUGGUGUUGGGGCCCUACAGCUGAUGUAGGCCCUCAAAGGUAGUGGCGGACCCUCCCGGAGCCUCCUUUGCGUAGUAACUUUACGUCUCGCACUGGGAUCCGGAGGGACUCUUGCCGUAAAACCCCCAAUUUUCCAAAGGUUGACCUCGGAUCAGGUAGGAAUACCCGCUGAACUUAAGCAUAUCAAUA
RNAcentral lists this ribosomal RNA (593 nucleotides) under Colletotrichum siamense. RNAcentral's name for it is "eukaryotic LSU rRNA". The stretch from base 231 to 384 matches the Rfam family "5.8S ribosomal RNA". Lineage: Eukaryota; Fungi; Ascomycota; Sordariomycetes; Glomerellales; Glomerellaceae. The record is from RNAcentral.